CGAAAAUAUAGCACAAAAGAAAUCAUGAAAUAACUCAGUGCAAUCCCAAUCUAAGAUGCAAACACAUCAAAAGAAAAACAAAAUCACACCAUAUCUCCACAUGACACAAAACAAAAACCAACUGCAAUCAACAAAUAAGACGCAAAGAGUCACAAGAAAUUAAAAAAAAAAUCCAUUCGCGGGCAACUACCGACUUAUUAUACUGUAUGAUCGAACACAAACAUAGCCAAAAUAUGACACCAAAGAAAUAAGACGCAAAC
This 260-nucleotide long non-coding RNA is filed under the name Mytilus galloprovincialis (Mediterranean mussel). The record is from RNAcentral. Lineage: Eukaryota; Metazoa; Mollusca; Bivalvia; Mytilida; Mytilidae.